Molecule: long non-coding RNA, 205 nt
Filed under: Elaeis guineensis (African oil palm)
Lineage: Eukaryota; Viridiplantae; Streptophyta; Magnoliopsida; Arecales; Arecaceae
Description: long non-coding RNA (EGUI_LNC035498)
Source: RNAcentral
CUGGCUAGAUGUGAAACUCAAUGGAUUACACAUAUAUAAAAAUUAACCAAAGAUCUUUUUUGAUAAGGUUGAUUGAAAUUUUGGAUCCGAUCAGGGUUCCCAAUAAACAUGCAAGCACGUGUGGAAAUUCUAGCUCCUUAGGAGAUCAAUUUGGUUUACCUUGCUAAUUUGCUAAUCUAAUUUGGUGAGCAAUUGGAUCAGGUCG